Molecule: small nucleolar RNA, 277 nt
Organism: Megalopta genalis
Lineage: Eukaryota; Metazoa; Arthropoda; Insecta; Hymenoptera; Halictidae
Product: small nucleolar RNA U3
Source: RefSeq, a predicted model, not a curated record
AAGAUCAUACUUCACAGGAUCAGUUCUGUAGUUGAUCAGUUCUUUCUCUCUGUUCAAACUGAGAGUCGAUGCAACCACGAUGAGGAGGCGUAGCUCCUUUCCCUGAGCGUGAGGAAGACUNGAGAGUCGAUGCAACCACGAUGAGGAGGCGUAGCUCCUUUCCCUGAGCGUGAGGAAGACUCGGGAAGUUGACUUUGUUCAAUUUCUCAGUCAUCGAUGAUCGUUCAUCCCUUGUACUUCGUGCAAGGGAGGUGGGAAGUGGAGCUUUCUGAGUGGC